This 137-nucleotide ribosomal RNA is filed under the name uncultured eukaryote. RNAcentral's name for it is "partial 18S ribosomal RNA". It matches the Rfam family "Eukaryotic small subunit ribosomal RNA", at positions 1299 to 1458 of the family's 1831-position model. The record is from RNAcentral.
UGGUGGGGUGACUUGUCUGCUUAAUUGCGAUAACGAACGAGACCUUAACCUGCUAAAUAGCCCGCAUUGCUCCGGCAGUGCGCUGGCCUCUUAGAGGGACUUUCGGCUCAAGCCGAAGGAAGUUUGAGGCAAUAACA